This 301-nucleotide ribosomal RNA is filed under the name uncultured bacterium. RNAcentral's name for it is "partial 16S ribosomal RNA". It matches the Rfam family "Bacterial small subunit ribosomal RNA", at positions 509 to 807 of the family's 1533-position model. The record is from RNAcentral.
CAGUAGCCACGGGAAUACGAAGGGGGCUAGCGUUGCUCGGAAUUACUGGGCGUAAAGGGAGCGUAGGCGGACAUUUAAGUCAGGGGUGAAAUCCCGGGGCUCAACCUCGGAAUUGCCUUUGAUACUGGGUGUCUUGAGUAUGAGAGAGGUAUGUGGAACUCCGAGUGUAGAGGUGAAAUUCGUAGAUAUUCGGAAGAACACCAGUGGCGAAGGCGACAUACUGGCUCAUUACUGACGCUGAGGCUCGAAAGCGUGGGGAGCAAACAGGAUUAGAUACCCCUGUAGUCCCUGUCUCUUAUAC